UAAGCGAUGCUUAUGAUUGUGCCAGAGCACACUUUGAACAACACCCUGGGAAUUUCAGAUUUCGCACAGGUGGUUGGUUGUUACACAGUGGAAAUGGAAUGAAGGGUUUUCACGUCAAGAAAUGCAGGAUUUGGAGGGGAAAAUGGACGGCUGUAGUGAAAAAGCCGAUGGCAGCAAUCAAAACGCUUUGAUGACUGUAUACAAAAAUGUGCUGGCUUGCUGCGGUGAGGAGGCCUACAAUCCAGUCAAUGAAAUAUGCUGUGACUCAGCCAUCAGAGUGAAACCUGCUGUUAAGAGCAAGUGUUGUGGUAAAGAGGCCAUCAAUGAGGAUAAGCAGUUGUGCUGUCAAAUCAACAAGACGAUAACAAGGACUUCAAGUCUAUACCAGUGCUGUGGAAGUGAAGAGUAUAACACUGAGACUCACUGUUGUGAUAGCGAAUUACAAAUCAAACCAUUCGGUAAUAGUUCCAUUACCUCAAGAAGACAGGUUGAUGACUGUGAACCAGAAAGCAAAAUCUGGACCGAUCAGAUAUAACAAAGCAGGAAAUGAUCACUGCUGUGGGGUGAAAGCCUACAACAUUACAGACCCAAAGAUGAAGUGCUGUGCAGGAACACUGCACCGUCUCACAGCUGCAACUGCAAAUGGCGAGUGCUGUGGAUCCAUUCUGUACACAGAGGGUGUUUGCUGCCUGAGUGAGGAUAAAGAGGUGUUCUACUCUGCAAAGGCAGAUUUCAGAUGUUGUGGACAUCUCUACUACAACACCUCUCUGUGGUCAUGCUGUGCAGGGAAACUGAGACCUCGGAAAUCAGGGGUGUUCCACAACUCCACAAUUUUGUCCUUGAACAAACUAAAUCAAGCAGAACUUUGCAACCCAAUAAAAAUUGGGACUGUGGAAAGUGUAUCUCAGCACAGCAUCGUGUUCAGCAGUUUGCUGGAAAUCAAUGGGCAAAUUGCUUCUUUGAAACCUCUGGACUGGCAUUAUUCCUGGAACAAACCUUAUUUACCUGAACUAACUCCUGGGAAGACUUAUUUCUUCAACGAUAAUAAUGUCUUCAUUGAUUUCAAUCAUGACUCUCUUCUUCAGUCGAUCCGUUUCAUUAUUUCCAAAUGUUCGUCUGGUUAAUCUGGUUAAUCUGCUCCAGUGUGCAAUAUGAAAUUAGUUCUCAGAGAGUGACAAAAGCUUCAGUAGUAAAAUAUGUACUUUGUGCAGUCAAAGUCAUGCAAUAAGAUGGUGCACUAAAUAGUGUGUUGUCUGCGUUCUCAUAGUGAGUUCUCAUAAAAGCUCUUUACAGUUUUGUUCUUCAGAUUUUUUUCUUUUCAAAUUUGUAUUAUGUAACAAAAAACGUAAAAACUGCAGUUGUUUGGGCGGAUGCGAUUUUUCGCUAAUUUACUCUACUAUCAGCAAUAAAAGCUAAAUAUGCAGGUGCCCUGUGAUGUCUGCAUAUUUAUCUUUAACUGUGCUUAUAUUGUUUAUUUCUUAAUUGUUACUCAAUAGCUAAUUUUUCCCUGAGGUCUUUGUUCUGUGUUACUAUAUAUUCACAUUUAUACAAAAAUCAGUUAUCAUCAUCAUCAUAAAUGUAUUCAUGUUUUAUCCAAUGAAUAAAUUUUUAAAGAAUAUAUCAGUGGCCAUGUUUUUUUAUGAUGCAGUUUUUUUUAUUUAUGCUACAACUGGUUUUGUUGAAAAUCAUAUUUGGUGAGUAAUUCAAUAACCAUUGCUGUCAGAUGUGAAUGAAUUUAAUUUAAGCAGAAGUUAAGCUUUCAUUUUACCUGUUUAUAUUUUACCGUCUGCAUCCAGAGACAAUAACCAGAUUACUGUUUAUUAAACAGUAUUAAACAAAACAUUAUUCAAUUAGUUUUCUCUUUGGCUCUCGGAGGAGGCGGACACAUCUUCCCUGCUGCUGCUUUUAUGUCUUUGUCUAGUCUUGUCUAAGUCUAACCCUCAAACAGUCUCUCAGUCUUGUUCUCUAAAACCUAAAGAAUUAUGGAUUUGAUCAACUGGUCUCGUAAC
Oreochromis aureus is the source of this 2009-nucleotide long non-coding RNA. NCBI's taxonomy places the organism in Eukaryota, Metazoa, Chordata, Actinopteri, Cichliformes, Cichlidae. The record is from Ensembl.